UCGGGAAUUUUGGGCAAUGGGCGAAAGCCUGACCCAGCAACGCCGCGUGAAGGAUGAAGUAUUUCGGUAUGUAAACUUCGUAAGAAUGGGAAGAAUAAAUGACGGUACCAUUUGUAAGGUCCGGCUAACUACGUGCCAGCAGCCGCGGUAAUACGUAGGGACCAAGCGUUGUUCGGAUUUACUGGGCGUAAAGGGUGCGUAGGCGGCGCGUCAAGUCAGUUGUGAAAUCUUAAGGCUUAACCUUAAGCGGUCAACUGAUACUGUCGUGCUAGAGUGCAGAAGGGGCAAUCGGAAUUCUUGGUGUAGCGGUGAAAUGCGUAGAUAUCAAGAGGAACACCUGAGGUGAAGACGGGUUGCUGGGCUGACACUGACGCUGAGGUGCGAAAGCGUGGGGAGCAA
This 399-nucleotide ribosomal RNA is filed under the name uncultured bacterium. Its description in RNAcentral is "bacterial SSU rRNA". It matches the Rfam family "Bacterial small subunit ribosomal RNA", at positions 355 to 771 of the family's 1533-position model. The record is from RNAcentral.